UGGAAGUGAAGGAAAGAAUGUGGAAUUGGAUUAAAACUUUCGAAAUUUCGGGUGUAGACGUUAGCUUCGAUGCUUGGUGUUCUGGUGACUUUUUGUUGUCGUCUUUUAUUAAGUUUUAGGUACCUCUGGUACCAUUGUUGGCUUUAAUAAUAUUCUCUUUUUCUCUAUCAAAAAAAAAGUUGUGAACUUUGAAAUCUAAUAAAAUUAUGCUUAAAAAUUAAUUACAAUCAUUCAACCUCUAAUAACAAAAACAUAAUGAUGGAUACCGCUCCCAAAAUUUCAAUAUUCUGCCACCAUUAGAAGAAAAUUAGAAUACGUACAAACUCUAUCUCUAUGACUUUUCAAGUAAAGAAAAAUCAAACAAACAGCAUCAGUUAAUUAACUUCACAAAUUGCAUUAAUCACCACGAUCCGAAACAUCACAGCCCGGAUCCGAAUUCAGAUCCAAACCCACACUUCGGUUUCCCUGCGACCUCUCACCCUCCUUCCUCACUCCGUCAAAAUCCUCCCGUUCAAACGUCGGGCUCCACCGCGGCGGCGCCGCCGCAUUCAUCUCAGACUCGGCGCAGCGGCGGUCCUGAAAAUACUUGACGGCCACCUGUAUCCGCUUCAGUAUCGCGAAGAACUCCUCCACCUCCUCGUCCGCCGGCACGGGCCCCUUCACGGCGCCGUCAUCUCGCGGAUUCGCCUUCCUGCCGCCGUUGGAUCCUCCGUCGUCUCCCCGUUUUCUCUUCUCCAUUGGUUGGUGGGUAAGGUUCGGUGUGAAAGCCUCAAUUUAUAGCGACGUCCGUUUUCAACGGACGUACAAUGUGACGUCGUUUGAUGACGCGUGGAGCCUCAGAUUCGUUGGAACUUUGAAAAUAAACAAAAUAUCUGACGAUAUUAUUAAUACCAUUAGGUGUGCAAUUCCAAGAGGAAUCAUAUGUUGCGUCACGUUACAAACGUCAUUGCACCUCCUACUAUCAUCAUCAUCAUCUUAAUUCUCUACCUACCGUUUUAAAUUUUAAAUUUAAAC
This 1014-nucleotide long non-coding RNA is filed under the name Salvia miltiorrhiza (redroot sage). RNAcentral describes it as "long non-coding RNA (SMIL_LNC012900)". Lineage: Eukaryota; Viridiplantae; Streptophyta; Magnoliopsida; Lamiales; Lamiaceae. The record is from RNAcentral.